UUCAGCAUGCCCAACAAUUGCUCUAGUUUUUUGAACAUUACUUUAUAACAUAUUUGAAUUUUCUUUCAUUGAUUACAAUUAAAUUAAAUAUUUUCGAUUUGGCUUUUUUAAUAAUAAUAUUGUUUUCAAACAGUUUUGGAACUCUGAGCUUGUCCAACGGUGCUUCUCCUUGGUUUUCAUCUAUCUCACUUCUAUAUUUGGUCAGAACUGACUGGUUGUUUGGUUUUUUUAAUAAUUAAUAAUACUUUGAUAAUUUGAUUAUUUUCACAUUUAACUUUAAUUUAAACUUAACAAUUGUCAUUUAAAUUUAACUUUAGUUUUUCAUAUUAACUUUAACGUCAUACCAAUUAGUUAACUACAUAUGACAACUUAGUCAUUUUCAAAAAAAAUUUUAAAUAAUUUUAAUAACACAGAUGUCGCUAGGAACUAUUGUUUCCGUCAGCAGGCUGUCGUUUUGAAUAUUGUCAGUAACAGCUGUUCUUUGUACGAAUGGUGGCCAUUUUGUAAAAAAAAACACAUUAAAUGUGAUUUUUAACAUUUAAGGGUUUUUUACCCUAACCAGUGGUUAUAUCCCUGGGUUAAUUUUUAAAAUAUAGAAUGUGUUUGUUCGAAGUUUUCUCUUCUUUUGAGGUUUUUACACCUAUAAGACGAUAGCUCUGAUGAUGGCAUUAAUAUGCUGAAAGUACUUAGCUGAUUUAAUAAAUUAAUUUACACAC
Molecule: long non-coding RNA, 716 nt
Organism: Diabrotica virgifera virgifera (western corn rootworm)
Lineage: Eukaryota; Metazoa; Arthropoda; Insecta; Coleoptera; Chrysomelidae
Exons: 2
Source: RefSeq, a predicted model, not a curated record